This 21-nucleotide small nuclear RNA is filed under the name Arabidopsis thaliana (thale cress). RNAcentral's name for it is "snRNA_03716". The record is from RNAcentral. Lineage: Eukaryota; Viridiplantae; Streptophyta; Magnoliopsida; Brassicales; Brassicaceae.
UUUUUUAUUGUUGUUCUAGAU